UAGUCCUGAAACAAGACAUUCGAAGGUGGAUUUAGCAGUAAGAGGGGAGCAGAGAGCCCCCCUGAAGCCGGCUCUGAAGUGUGUACACACCGCCCGUCACUCUCCCCCAGCACCCUCGCCAUAAACUUACAUAAAACAUAAGAGCAGCAUAGGGGAGGCAAGUCGUAACAUGGUAAGCGUACCAGAAGGUGCGCUUGGAAAACACU
This 206-nucleotide ribosomal RNA is filed under the name Pentapodus bifasciatus (white-shouldered whiptail). Its description in RNAcentral is "partial 12S ribosomal RNA". It matches the Rfam family "Bacterial small subunit ribosomal RNA", at positions 1289 to 1533 of the family's 1533-position model. Lineage: Eukaryota; Metazoa; Chordata; Actinopteri; Spariformes; Nemipteridae. The record is from RNAcentral.